UGCAAGUCGAGCGGAGAGAGGUAGCUUGCUACUGAUCUUAGCGGCGGACGGGUGAGUAAUGCUUAGGAAUCUGCCUAUUAGUGGGGGACAACAUUUCGAAAGGAAUGCUAAUACCGCAUACGUCCUACGGGAGAAAGCAGGGGAUCUUCGGACCUUGCGCUAAUAGAUGAGCCUAAGUCGGAUUAGCUAGUUGGUGGGGUAAAGGCCUACCAAGGCGACGAUCUGUAGCGGGUCUGAGAGGAUGAUCCGCCACACUGGGACUGAGACACGGCCCAGACUCCUACGGGAGGCAGCAGUGGGGAAUAUUGGACAAUGGGCGCAAGCCUGAUCCAGCCAUGCCGCGUGUGUGAAGAAGGCCUUAUGGUUGUAAAGCACUUUAAGCGAGGAGGAGGCUACUUUAGUUAAUACCUAGAGAUAGUGGACGUUACUCGCAGAAUAAGCACCGGCUAACUCUGUGCCAGCAGCCGCGGUAAUACAGAGGGUGCAAGCGUUAAUCGGAUUUACUGGGCGUAAAGCGCGCGUAGGCGGCUAAUUAAGUCAAAUGUGAAAUCCCCGAGCUUAACUUGGGAAUUGCAUUCGAUACUGGUUAGCUAGAGUGUGGGAGAGGAUGGGUAGAAUUCCAGGUGUAGCGGUGAAAUGCGUAGAGAUCUGGAGGAAUACCGAUGGCGAAGGCAGCCAUCUGGCCUAACACUGACGCUGAGGUGCGAAAGCAUGGGGAGCAAACAGGAUUAGAUACCCUGGUAGUCCAUGCCGUAAACGAUGUCUACUAGCCGUUGGGGCCUUUGAGGCUUUAGUGGCGCAGCUAACGCGAUAAGUAGACCGCCUGGGGAGUACGGUCGCAAGACUAAAACUCAAAUGAAUUGACGGGGGCCCGCACAAGCGGUGGAGCAUGUGGUUUAAUUCGAUGCAACGCGAAGAACCUUACCUGGCCUUGACAUAGUAAGAACUUUCCAGAGAUGGAUUGGUGCCUUCGGGAACUUACAUACAGGUGCUGCAUGGCUGUCGUCAGCUCGUGUCGUGAGAUGUUGGGUUAAGUCCCGCAACGAGCGCAACCCUUUUCCUUAUUUGCCAGCGAGUAAUGUCGGGAACUUUAAGGAUACUGCCAGUGACAAACUGGAGGAAGGCGGGGACGACGUCAAGUCAUCAUGGCCCUUACGGCCAGGGCUACACACGUGCUACAAUGGUCGGUACAAAGGGUUGCUACCUAGCGAUAGGAUGCUAAUCUCAAAAAGCCGA
Molecule: ribosomal RNA, 1236 nt
Filed under: Acinetobacter calcoaceticus
Lineage: Bacteria; Pseudomonadati; Pseudomonadota; Gammaproteobacteria; Moraxellales; Moraxellaceae
Description: bacterial SSU rRNA
Rfam family: Bacterial small subunit ribosomal RNA
Source: RNAcentral